GAUGAACGCUAGCGUCAGGCUUAACACAUGCAAGUCGAGGGGCAUCGGGAUUGAAGCUUGCUUCAAUUGCCGGCGACCGGCGCACGGGUGCGUAACGCGUAUGUAACCUACCUAUAACAGGGGCAUAACACUGAGAAAUUGGUACUAAUUCCCCAUAAUAUUCGGAGAGGCAUCUCUCCGGGUUGAGAACUCCGGUGGUUAUAGAUGGACAUGCGUUGUAUUAGCUAGUUGGUGAGGUAACGGCUCACCAAGGCAACGAUACAUAGGGGGACUGAGAGGUUAACCCCCCACACUGGUACUGAGACACGGACCAGACUCCUACGGGAGGCAGCAGUGAGGAAUAUUGGUCAAUGGACGCAAGUCUGAACCAGCCAUGCCGCGUGCAGGAAGACGGCUCUAUGAGUUGUAAACUGCUUUUGUACGAGGGUAAACUCACCUACGUGUAGGUGACUGAAAGUAUCGUACGAAUAAGGAUCGGCUAACUCCGUGCCAGCAGCCGCGGUAAUACGGAGGAUUCAAGCGUUAUCCGGAUUUAUUGGGUUUAAAGGGUGCGUAGGCGGUUUGAUAAGUUAGAGGCGAAAUCCCGGGGCUUAACUCCGGAACUGCCUCUAAUACUGUUAGACUAGAGAGUAGUUGCGGUAGGCGGAAUGUAUGGUGUAGCGGUGAAAUGCUUAGAGAUCAUACAGAACACCGAUUGCGAAGGCAGCUUACCAAACUAUAUCUGACGUUGAGGCACGAAAG
RNAcentral lists this ribosomal RNA (741 nucleotides) under uncultured Bacteroidales bacterium. RNAcentral describes it as "bacterial SSU rRNA". It matches the Rfam family "Bacterial small subunit ribosomal RNA", at positions 28 to 759 of the family's 1533-position model. The record is from RNAcentral. Lineage: Bacteria; Pseudomonadati; Bacteroidota; Bacteroidia; Bacteroidales.